UUCAUCUCCUGUGAACUUUAGGCCUAUUUCCAGUAUUCUUAAUGGCGGGAUUAGACAGGAUUAUUCAGUAAGGUUCACCUAGGACUCAGCUCUUAGACCAGUUAAGUUUACAAUGCACUCGCAGACUUGGACCCUUUUUCAAUUAGUGCAUUCACAUUCACACCACAGACACAACUGGAUCCAUGUUUGAUUCGUUCAAUGGUUAUCCCACAGUAAACAGGAUGACGUAGAACCAUUUCAGAGCUCGACUUGUGGACCAGACUAUUAGCUGGGUAGCUAGUUAGCUAUACAGCUCCAGGUGGCCAGUUUUGGUGUUAAGACUGCUACAGAGUGUACCUGUCAAACCAGUUCCCAGGGAUUGUGUCCUGAACACAUCCACAUAGCUAGAACCCACCAUGAACACCUCCUUGCCAACAGAACCAACUUCUUCCUUUCCGGUCAUGCUUUCUCUUAUGGAAGUAACAGCCCAGAAGUGAGUCCCAUUGGCAGGCCUUCGACUGCUGUACCCACACCUAUACUGAACAACACAAGUGGAGACCUAAACUGUUGGCAGUGACACUGCUACCACGGUCAGGAUGUCUGGAAUUAAGAUGAGGGAAGUGGAGGCACAAAUUGGUGGUUUAAUAAAUGUUCAAAGAAACAUAAUUUCUGCUGGUUUUGUGAAGUCAAAUUUGUCUUCAGUGACUCAAAAUGUAUUCCAUAUUAAUAAAUAUGUUUCUUUGCCAAUACAA
Esox lucius (northern pike) is the source of this 731-nucleotide long non-coding RNA. RefSeq lists it as uncharacterized. Lineage: Eukaryota; Metazoa; Chordata; Actinopteri; Esociformes; Esocidae. The record is from RefSeq and is a predicted model, not a curated record. The transcript has 3 exons.